GAUUGGCUGGGGCUGGACUAGAGGGGUCAGGAGAAGUGUAUAUAUAGCUGAGUACUAGUCAAUUUGGGUUAGUCUGUAGUGGCCAGAAGGAGGCAGCAGAGGAAGAAGGAAGAAAACCUGGAAGGAAGCCAGAGUUGCUUUGUUGUUUGAAGACUUGCCGGGGUAGCUGAAUCACUUGGCUUAGGAUGAAGAGAUGAGGGGAAGAAUCACAGAGAGAGAGCAAUUGAGAGGUAGUUUGGAAUACCAAGCUCUGGUGUCUGGUAGGAGACCCAAAGGAAGAUUACACAACAGGGCAGCAAAAUCAGAGCUGUGCUUUAGAAGAUUUGGUUCCAGCUACACCAUUCCAUCAAGACCGUCAGCCAGGAGCUAGGAUUGCAGCAUAAAACACCAAUCCUGAAGGCAGCAGUGAACUGAAUAUGGUUGAACUCAUCUCAUCUAACACCUGCUAGUUGAGGGAAAAAUCAUUGGGAAGGAGAAUUUCACAGCAUCAGAAUACAUGGGAAAUGCUAGGACCUCAGUUUUCACUGCAUUGAAAAACACAUCACUCUU
Long non-coding RNA from Podarcis muralis (Common wall lizard), 549 nucleotides. RefSeq lists it as uncharacterized. The record is from RefSeq and is a predicted model, not a curated record. Lineage: Eukaryota; Metazoa; Chordata; Lepidosauria; Squamata; Lacertidae.